CCGGCCAGACUCCUCUGCAGCUCUCAGGCCUCCCGCACAAGCUCAGCCUGCCUGGCACACACGUGGAGAUUCUCCCCUCCCUGUGUGGCGCUAAGGCACCUUGGUGAGCUCCUCAUGGUCCACAUGGGCUGCGAGUGUGUGGGAUGGCCUGGGGCGACUGGAGAAGUCUGUUCACCUGGCCCUUUGGGAGCCAAGUGGAGGAGGCUCCAGAUCAGCCCCAGAAACCCUGUUCGCUGUUCUCAGUGAGGGCGUCUGCCACGAGACUGGGGCCAGAGGGGCCAUGUAGGGAUGAGGAGUGGCGGUGACUGGGAGGUGAGGAUGGCCAGAAAGUGCUAGUCUCCCAUCAUCCCUCUGUCUUGGUGAACUCCGCUGUAUCUUAGAAUCCUGCUUGACCCGGCUCUUCAGGAAGCUGCCCUGGCAGGCCGGGCUGAGCCUGAAGAUGCCUGGCCUGGCUCUGUGGCCUCUGUGAGCCCCGGCCCCUCCUGGCCUCAGUUCUAGCUGGAGGAAACAGGACUCCCUCCUCAUCCUGGGAAGGCGGUCUCUUCCUCUCAGCGGGACUUUGAAGAGGCCGUGAAGAACCCACAGGGCCCUGCAGCAGUGGAACCAGACACCCAGAUUCACCACCCUGGAGUCGUUCCCAGCCUAGCACAGAGCCUGGGAAACAGAUGGAGAAAGCGUAGGGUGGGAGGGCCCAACAUCCUGGGCGGCUGGGGAAAUGACAGCAGCCGGGAUCCCAGCACUUAGCAUGGGUCAGUUAACAAUGCAUCCGGCCCCACCCAGCCUGUGAGGAGCCCCUUCUGUUCCUCACGCUCACACACCUGAAACUGACUCUCUGCUGGGCUCACUUGUCCACACUGCUGCUACUACCACCGCCACAGGGCCAGGAUUAGACCCCAGACAACCUGGACCGGAAGUCCACACUCCCAUCCACGGAACUACAAAACAAAAUGAAAACCAUCUCUCCCUCUGGCAGGGAUGACGGAUAAUAGGUUUGAUGCCAUCAAGUGCUGCUGAGGUCACCUCACCACCACCACCACCACGGGGAGCCCACGUCUGAUUACCUAGGGAGCCCCAAGAGUUCGGGUCAGAGUGGAGCGAACAGCUCUUUCAUCUCAUCUGCGUUUAGGUUGCCAUGCAGGAAAGAGUCGUGCAUUGCUUUGGUUUGUAACUCAUUUAAAAGGAGAAUGGGGGCAGUGAUACAGGGACAGCAUGUGCGAGGCCCGAGUUGCAUCCUUAGCCCAUCCCCCAAACAGAUGGGGGAGUAUGUUGGGGAAAGGGAAUCAAAGAUGGACAGAAUGGAAGGCUCUCAGACAGUUGUCCCUGACCGUGACCUCCUGCAGGCUUUGUCUGGGCGAGGCCUGUUCUUUUAUUGGGCACAUAUGUAUUUUCUGGGGGCCCCUAGGUCCUCGGCUCUGUGCCGGGCUGUGUGCUCUCCCCAGGCACACCCAGGGUGUGUCCCGACAGAGGGGCUCCCCUUCUGUCCCUGUCUGGGCGCUCUGUGGUAACAAGGUCAGGGCUGCAGGGAGGAGCCAGUUCUGGCCAGAGCUCUGAUCUGUGACGGGCUGUUCCCCGGAGCAGCUGCUACAACAACAUUUACUUUGUACAGUGGCCAAGAGAGAGAGCAAGAAAAGGAAGAGAGAGAGAGAGAGAGAGAGAGAGAGAGAGAGAGAGAGAGACAGAGGGAGAGAGCACACAAGCCUACUCUAUUGCAAAAUGUUUCUGACAAAAUCUGGCACUCCUGGUUCUAAUCAAAAUACUGAACUUUGGAACAAAUUAACAUUCCACAGCCCUCACUGGGAAGGAGAAUUCAGCCGAGACGACUUCAGUUCACAACAACAAAAAUAGCUUCUCCCGGGGAAGACACAUUCUGCUAACAAGGUCACUUGUGUUUUGCUUCCCCUGCCAUCUGGCUGAGCGGCAACCAGGGGCUGGCACUGGUACCAGCGUCUUGUGUGGAGAGGGGCUGGGAACCGGGUGGUGCCGCUGAAGGCUUCUCAGCCUCCUGGCAAAGGGUGUAGGCGUGGAGUUACCUUCAGACAGUCCCAGAACUGGGGCAGAUGGAGCCCAGUCUCACCCAGCCGGGCUCAGCUUCGAGCUCCGAGCAGCAGGAGGUGUGACACCAGCACACAGCAACAAGCAGAUCUGGAGGCCAGAAGUGUGAAAUCAAGAUGUUGUCAGGGCUCUGUUCCUUCUGAGACCUUCUGAGACCUUCUUUGCCUCCUCCCAUUUUCUGGCACACCAGUCAUAUUGGAUUAAAGGCCCAAGACUCCAUUCUGACCUCAUCUUGGCUAAUUGCAUCUCCAUGACCCUAUUUCCAAAUAAGGUCACAAUCUCAGGAUGUGGAGCAGCACCCCAACCUUUAUCAAACAGAUGCUUCUAGCAUUGCUUAAUUCAGUUGCGACAACCAAAAAAUGUUAGUGUCUCCUGGUGUGUGUGUGUGGCAAAAUUACCCCUAGUUGAGAAGAAUGAGAAUAUUCAUUUAGGGGUUGGAAAUCUUAAAGUUGUAAAAAUCAUCCAAAUUUCUCUUUAUCUUGCUUUCUGUUAAAUACUUUCCUGUGUUGUAAGGCUGCUCUGCUCUGAGACCACUGGCACCGUGAGCAGAUGGCAUGACUUGGCUGUCCCCUGCUCCUGCCUCCGUGCACCUGGGACCUGUGGGUGGCCUCGUUUGCAUGGAGGAAAAAGAUAAUAUCCCUAUUUAUUACAAAGACUCAGGCAUUUGAAGGACCCAACCAAUGGUGUGACAUGUGUGGGCACAUGAACUUCACCUUGGAUGCCCCAGAAGUUUCUAGAGCUGACUUCCUUUAACUAGAAGGAAUAUGACUGUGGUCUUAGAAGAAAGACAUUACCUGGAGGAAGUUGAAAGCCAGCAUGCAGAGAAGGAAGACUACGGAAGGGCUCAGGCAGCUACACAGCUCUGCAGAACAAAAUGUUCUUGUCCAGGCCAUGGGGCCACAGGCUGGGACAGAGGGGAGGAACAAUGAUGUCAUGGAAUGAGAAGGAGUUGGGAACACUAUUGGAAUGAAUGUUCCAUUGAUUACACGAGUUGCUGACAAGCAACAGCAGAAAUGGAGCUGGGUGAUCAGUCUCAAAUUCUCCCCCUGACAUUUGCAAGAAAAGUGGUGAACACAUCCCAGACACCCACUUCCUACCCCCGUUAUGUGUAUGAGGUAAGCGAUCUGGCCUUGGACGUUAAAUCUCCUCUCUUAAUAGACUCCUGGACAUGCCAGAAUGUCUGCUGGGUCUGAAUGUCUUAUUUCAAUGCAGGCUCCCAUCUUUUUUCAGUGUGUUUAAUUAAAAAUAAAUAAAGCAGUCCAUUCGGAGGGCUUUUCCUCCCACUGAUGGAUGAGGCGAGUACUCGGGGACUCUUCAGCAGGGUGGACAGCUUGGCAAAGAUGUCUGUGUCCUAAUCUCUGGGACCCGAGAUUAUGUUACCUUCUGCGGCAAAGGGGAUUUUCCAGAUAUGAUUAAAUUAAGGGUCUUGAGCUGAAGAGAUGAUCCUGGAUUAGCUGGGUGGGUCCUCAGCAGAGGCAGGCACUUGGGGGGGAGGCUGGAGGCAGAGCAAUGAUAAAAGCAGAAGUCCGAAAACGAAAACGCAGCACAACAAACUAAGGAACACGGUGACCUCUAGACGCUGGAAGCAGCAAGGACUCGGAUUCUCCCCUUGAGCCACCAGGAGGAACACAGCCUGCAGCUGCAUCCAGACUUCUGACCUCCAGAACUGCAAGCAAAUAAAAGUAUGUGAUUUGGGGCCACCCCGUUUGUGCUCAUUCACUGCUGCCGCAGCCAGAGAAAACCAACACAGAUUUCCACGUUGAGUCUGGGUUUUCCUUUGAGGCUGUGGCUUUUCCUACUGUGAUCGUAGCUCACAGCUGCUGAGUGGGGACAAUGUGUACCAGAUGCUGAGUAGACAUCAUCUCAGUUCUCCCAGUAACCCUGUGGGCCGGGCACUGGCAUUACCCUUAUUCAGGAGAUGGAGGACUAGGCUUGCAACAGUCUGCUGUAACCAGAGGCGGUUUUGAGCCCCAGGGACACUGAGCAAUGCCUGUAGACAUUCAGAUAGUCACAACCAGGUUUGGGGUGCUCCUGGCAUCUAGUGCAGGAGAAGCCAGGGAUGAAUGACAUGUGUGUGUACACAUGUGCAUAUGGGGUGUGUAUGGGGUUGGUGUGUGGCGUGUGUGUGUGUGUCUGUGUGGUGGGGGCCAGGUUAGGGAGAACAGGGGACCUGGCCUCUGCCUCACUUUCCAUCAUGAUCUGCUCCACUGUCCCCCCAAACUGCCUACAUCAGCAAGAGAUGAGAGAGUUACCAGUGUCAUCCCCCUAAAAUUCUACUUUUUCUCACAUUGAUGUCCCCUAUUUCCUGCCCACUAUUAUUGACUGGCACCUCCUCUCUGUUCUCUUCAUGCCUCCCUCCAUCACUGCCUCAGAGCAUACUUUUCUGAUUGGAUGAGGCCCCUGCCGCCAGCUCCGGUACCGAUACAGGUCUCAGCACCAAUGUACACUGGAAAGUGGAAAGUCUGCCCCACCUGAGCAGUGGCUGAGCAGCUUGCUGUUUGCAAAGUGUCACUGCCGGAAAGAAGUGGAUGGCAAGAUGCAUCCUCUACGGGGAUCAUGACCUGACGUGGCCCUCUCGCCUGGUCACCUGGUUAGGCCAAGUCACCAGACAGUCCCUGUGUUCUCACCUGCAAAUUGGGAGUCACUUACUUGAAAUUAAGUAAGAGAUGGAGGAAUCUGUUCCUCCCUCAGAGAUGCAUGAGGUAUUGUGCCACACUGGCUCCUGGCUUCUGGUGACACUGACAUUUCUGGGAUUGUGGCUGCCUUCCUCCCAUCUCUCCCUCUCUUUGUGUGGCCUUCUCUCUCCCAUGUGUCCGAGGGUCAAAUCUCCCUCUGAUUCUCUCUUAUAAAUACUGAUGCUGUUAGGCCCUGCUGGGGUAACCCAAGAUGAUCCUGUCUCAAGAUCCUUAACUCAACUUUUGCCAUUUAAGGGAACAUUCACUCAUAGAACCCUGAAAUUAGGCAACAGAUAUCUUUGGAGGAUCAUUAUUUCAGCCUAGCACAAGGAGGUAGGUACUUUACACAUCUUUACAUUUCAUAUCAAGCCUAAGAAUAGCUAUUAGUUUUGCUGUUUCACAGAUGAGGAAAUUGAGGCUUGGAGACAUUUACUAUGGAAUUUCAGAAAGUUCAUUCCGUUUCUGAGACACCUUGCCAUUUUCAUCUAUAAAAUGAGAAUCGUGCCCUUCCUGACCUAGGCCAGAUGAAAGUAGAGAAUUUUUAUACAAAUUCUUAGCAAAGUAUUAUGCAUUACAGAGAUGCAAGGGGUUAUUUUUUGCCUUGAGUGGAUUUUCUAGAAAGUCUUCACGUGGGAGAGGAGAGAUGACUUGGCUGAGGAUUGUGAGUGAAAUGCCAAAAUAUUUCUAGAAAUCAUCAGUGUCUUAGAGUGCUGAGUCUUCAUUACAAUAGCAAGUGAAAUUCUGAUGUAGAUGCACUUUAAAACAUUCCCUGUUUGAGGAAUCAUGCCUGGAAGCCACUUCCCAAAGAGAGGCAGCAAGAAAUGCUGAAUUCUUUCAAGUUGAAAGUGGGAGAGAUGGCACAUUUUAUUCUUUAGAAUGCUCCUUCUUCGGCUCAUCCUUCUAGGCAUUCUUAACAGGUAUGUUUGAGUUUGAUUGCAUUUGCACCAGGUGCUGUUCACGUCUGUUAACUCUCUGCAGUUUCUGUCAUCUUGGUAAUAGAGAAAGGAUGGUAGGAGCAGCAAGUGAGUGAGAGGUUGCAUAGGUAAGCAGGAAAUUGACUCCAGGAAGAGAAUGGCAGGCACGACAAAGAACAUUUAGGAGGAAGCUAGACGUCUUUAUCAAAAUUGAUUUUUGACUGGACAGGCCUCUGCUCUGCAUACAUGCUAUAUUUAUACAUCUAGAUCAGAUGUGGAAAACAUGGCCACUCAGGACAGAGCCCGGCCAGCACCACAGCAGACAUCACUAAUCAAUCACAGUGACCCAGCUCUCCAGGCACCCACUGCCAGUCAAUGAGCUCUAUCUAUUGCCUAGUACUAUUGUGCUAGUAGAUAAGCCUAGGACAUAAAUUUCACUGCAUUAAUUAACUUACUUAAUUCAAAAGACUUUUUCACCUGCCGUUGUACCCAAUCUUAAGCUGCUUUUUUACUAUUUUAGUGACGCCUGGUGUGUUUGCAACCCAAUAAUACCAGCUACCAAUUGCUUGCUGUGCACCAAGCUCUGUGGAUUGAAUUCUCACAAAUCAUAGUGUUUUAGUUGACUGAACUUCAUUUGAAUAAGGUGAGAGUCAAAUGAAAAGUUCCAUCAUUUACAGUGUAUUUGAAGACUGCUUCUCUAGAGAGUAGUGUUUCCGCAGUGGAUUUCGGGGAAUAUGUCUGCUGAGAUACUAAACCUUGAUUGCACUGCAGUGCUGGGAUGGAACCGAGGGCCUCGUGCACAAUGGACAAGUGCUUGACCACGGAGCUCCACCUCAGUCCUUUACUGAGCCUUAGACUUUAUCUUCAUGUGCUCUCUAGACAACUCCUGUGUUAACAUUUGAGGCUUGUAUAGGCCAAGCAUCCCUAAUCUGGAAAUCAAAAGUGCUCCAAAAUCCAAAACUUUCUGAGCACUGACAUGCUGCCAUAGUGGAAGUUCAGUUCCUUGUGGCUACGGAACAGAGACCCUGUGUCGUUGCUGGCUGCUCCCCGCUCCGGGCGGCUGCCCACACUCCUUGUCACACAGUUCCUUCUGCCUUCCAGCCAGCGAUGGCACAUGGGCUCCUCGUUCUCAGAAGCUCUGACUUUUCUGUUGCUGACUUUAGAAGCCUUCAAGGGUGGUCCUGCCAAUCCCUGCCACAGCAGCAGCCGUGUUAGUGUGGUUGUAUGUACAGCCCGGGGCAGGAACUCUCACAGGCAGGCUUAGAAUUCUGCCUCCCGCAAGGCUUUUGACCUAAGUGUUAGACCAGGUCUUUUGCUGACCCUGACUUCAAAAUGUUUGAAUGCACAGUUGUGCAAGGAGUUCCCAUAUUGUGGCUGACAUUGAAGAAGAGUUGUUUAAGGUGCGACAUUCUGCAGAUCUAUGGGUACUGCCUACACUGCCUCGUGCUGUUGAUUACUGCAUUGAUGGCUUCAGAAGCUCUCCACGUGUUGAUCAAGACCUUGUUGAACCUUGACAGAGUGAUAAAUUGCAUGCUUGUUUCCCCUCA
Heterocephalus glaber (naked mole-rat) is the source of this 7188-nucleotide non-coding RNA. Lineage: Eukaryota; Metazoa; Chordata; Mammalia; Rodentia; Bathyergidae. The record is from RefSeq and is a predicted model, not a curated record.